This 301-nucleotide ribosomal RNA is filed under the name uncultured bacterium. Its description in RNAcentral is "partial 16S ribosomal RNA". It matches the Rfam family "Bacterial small subunit ribosomal RNA", at positions 509 to 809 of the family's 1533-position model. The record is from RNAcentral.
CAGUAGCCGCGGUAAUACGUAGGGUGCGAGCGUUAAUCGGAAUUACUGGGCGUAAAGCGUGCGCAGGCGGUUAUGUAAGACAGUUGUGAAAUCCCCGGGCUCAACCUGGGAACUGCAUCUGUGACUGCAUAGCUAGAGUACGGUAGUGGGGGAUGGAAUUCCGCGUGUAGCAGUGAAAUGCGUAGAUAUGCGGAGGAACACCGAUGGCGAAGGCAAUCCCCUGGACCUGUACUGACGCUCAUGCACGAAAGCGUGGGGAGCAAACAGGAUUAGAUACCCCAGUAGUCCCUGUCUCUUAUAA